Molecule: long non-coding RNA, 202 nt
Filed under: Homo sapiens (human)
Lineage: Eukaryota; Metazoa; Chordata; Mammalia; Primates; Hominidae
Description: HSALNT0326499
Source: RNAcentral
UAACAUAGCAAGGGAUUUCAAUGCCAUCUUUUGAGUAUUGAAUGAAGGGUGAAUUUGAGACCACUUACAACUCCAUCAUCAAUUUUAAAGAACAGUGACUCUUCAUUGGCCAGUGGAAGAAAUUAACCCACAAUGAUGUUGAUGCUAUUUCUAAGAGGUAAGAGUCACAACUAUUCUUCUUAGAUGUAAAACUAUUUUAUCC